Molecule: ribosomal RNA, 351 nt
Filed under: uncultured bacterium
Lineage: Bacteria
Description: bacterial SSU rRNA
Rfam family: Bacterial small subunit ribosomal RNA
Source: RNAcentral
GGGCCCGCACAAGCGGUGGAGCAUGUGGUUUAAUUCGAUGAUACGCGAGGAACCUUACCAGGGCUUAAAUGUAGUAUGACCGGUCUAGAAAUAGACCUUCUCUUCGGAGCAGAUUACAAGGUGCUGCAUGGUUGUCGUCAGCUCGUGCCGUGAGGUGUUAGGUUAAGUCCUGCAACGAGCGCAACCCCUAUUCUUAGUUGCCAGCGGUUCGGCCGGGGACUCUAAGAAGACUGCCAGCGCAAGCUGAGAGGAAGGUGGGGAUGACGUCAAAUCAUCACGGCCCUUACGUCCUGGGCUACACACGUGCUACAAUGGUAUCUACAACAGGAAGCAAGACUGCGAAGUUAAGCA